GGGUUCCCUCCAGCCUCAGCUUUGCCCAGGACCUCACCUGGAACACGUGGAAGCCAACGGUGAGGUAAGUGAGGCCCUUGGCUCUCAGGCGCCGCCGGUUGCGCUGGAUGAGGGACAGAAGGACCGUGCACUUGGGCGUGCGGCCCCCCCGCGCUGGGCCCCGUGCCCCUGCAGCCCCCCAGCCCCCCCAGGGCCCUUCCUCAUCCUCGUCAUCCUCCUCAUCAGGCUCCAGCAGCGUUAAACGGAACUGAGGAUUGGUCCAGAAGGUUUCUAAGGGAGGAGGAAAAAAGGGGGUUUCCUAGCCGGCCACAGCGCCCCCCACCCCAGGAAGCCUCUCAGGGCCCCUCAGGCCUCACCAGCAUUAGGCUGGCUCCCGCCGGAGUUGAAGCCACGCACCCAGCGGCCUUGGAAGGUGUGGACGUGCCAGCCGCCCCCCUCCGGGCUGGGGCCCAGCACCUCCGGGCUCAGCGAGCAGAUCUGCACGGUGUCGAAAUGGAGGAGGAAGUCCCGCAGCUCCAUCCUGCACGGUGGCCCAGUCAGACCCUGCCCGGCCCCACCUCGAGGGGGUCCCAAGAUCCCGGAAAUGACUCCCAGAUCCCAAAGCCCCUCACAUUUCUUAAAUAUUGUCAAAUACCCUUCAGGCUCCAGAAAUGAACCCCAAAUGCCUGGGCCUCUAGCUCUGCCAAAUUCCUCCAAGUCCUCAGACAUGCCCCACAAAUCGCCAAGAUUCACAAGCUGCCCCCAAAUAUCGUUAAAUUGCCACCAACCCCCAAAUAGCAAGACCCUCAGACUCUAAAUUACCAACAAGUACCCUUCAGCCCCUCAACAUUGCCAAAUCUCAAGAAAUGCCCCAAAUAUCACCAAGCCUUCCUCCAUUGCCCUAAAUACUGCCCAUCCCUUUCAAUCCUCCACAGAUAACUAGGCCUUCAAAUUCCCCUCAUAUUACUACUUUUUUAAACCCACUCCAAUCAGAGGUUCUCUAAUAUUACUACCAAUUCUUCCUUGAUUUCCCAAAAUAGAACCUGGCCCCAAAAUUACCACCGAUGUACACAGUUUCUCCCUAUUAGGACCCAUCCUUCAACUGGGGCUCGCCCUCCCUGAACCCCUUGGCAGAGACCCUCCCAGAGGCAGAGCUGGGACCCUGACGAACUGACCAGAACUCGCCAUCCUCCUUUUUCACCAGCAGGGCAUCGCGGCACUCGGUGGGGAGUGUGUCCCAGCGUGGGCAGCUGGAGAGACUGUGGUGUGAGGGGCGGGCAGGUGGGGUCCAGCCCCACACCCACCCCAGACCCAUCCCACCUGUCGCUCCAGGCCCCCGUCCACUCCACGCAGCCCCAUGGGUUCCGCAGCCGCAGCAGCCGCACCUUGGUGAAGCCCAGGAACACCUGGGGCAGCAUCGUCAGUGGGGGUGAUGCCUGGACAUGGCCUGCCACCCCACCCAUGGGGGACACUUACCUUGUGUGUGCCCGUGAUGGAAUACGCGUGUCCCUUUACCAGGCCCUCUUCUGUGCGGUACUCACCCCGAUCACUCUGGGCAGGGGAUGGGAUGGUGAGGCCAAGGUAGGGGACAGGAGGGCAGCUGCUCCUCCCUGCCCCCAACCUCCUGCCACCAAGGCAGGAGCCAACCAGAGCACUGAACUGAAUGGCACGCAGCUCAGAGACCAUGUCAGGGUUAGUGACUGAAGGCGAAAGAGAAAAGGAGAGGAAGGGAGAUGGAAACGAGACAAAAGGAGAUGGAGGUACGGGCUCACGCCUGUAAUCCCAGCACUUAGGGAGGUCGAGGUGGAAGGACUACUUGAGGCCAGGAGUCCAAGACCAGCCUGGGCAACAUAGCAAGACCCCAAGUCUACAAAAAUUUUAAAAAUUCAACAGGCGUGGUGGUGCACACCAGUGGUCCCAGCUACUCUGGAGGCUGAGGCAGGAGGAUCCCUUGAGCCCAGAGGUCAAGGCUAUAGUGAGCUAUGAUGACACUACUGCACUCUGGCCUGGGUGACAGAGUGAGAUGAGACCCUGCCUCCAAAAACAAAAACAAACAAAAUAGAUGGAAAGAGGCCUGUUGUGGUGGCUCACACCUGUAAUCCCAGCACUUUGGGAGGCCGAGGCGGGCAGAUCACAAGGUCAGGAGAUUGAGACCAUCCUGGCUAACACAGUGAAACCCCAUCUCUACUAAAAAUACAAAAAACUAGCUGGGCAUGGUGGCGGGCGCCUGUAGUCCCAGCUACUCGGGAGGCAAAGCAGGAGAAUUGCUUGAACUUGGGUGACAGAGGUUACAGUGAGCCAAGGUCGUGCCACUGCACUCCAGCCUGGGUGACAGAGCAAGAUUCCGUCUCAAAAAAAAAAAAAAAAAAAAAAAAGAUGGAAAGAGUAGAGAGACAGAGACAGAGACAAAGAAAGAUACAGAAGAGAGAAACAGACACAAAAGAAAAAGAGAAGCAGUAACUCAGAGGAUUUAAGUAAAUGAAUGAGUGAAGGAGUUAGACCAACUCAGUGAAUGAAUGAGUGUGUCAUGGGGUCACAGAUGAACACAUGACCCAAGCUAAGCCCACGAGAAUCAAUCCUGGGACUUUUACUGAAAUUCUCAGAAAGAGGCACUUUUUUUUUUUUUUUUUAAAUAAACCCUAGGGUGGUAGGAGAUACCUGCAGCUAUGGGGGAUCCUUUUAUGCCCAUGAGGGGAGAGCCUGGCUGAGAGUGACACUAACACAGAAUGAGAAAUAAACAUAGUUGCAACACCCUCAGCAUCUGGAUCCAGCUGUGCCUGAAGCCCCUGAUUCAUGAGAGCAAAUGAAUUUAUUUUUGACUAGUUAGAUUUAUGAGCGAGCCUAAGCCAGUAACGGAAGCAGAGAACAGAGGAAGCACUCCGCCCACCCCACCACACCCCUGACUGUGCUCUGGUCCUGGUGGGGGUUCCGCAUGCGAGUCCAGGUCUCUUACCAGGGCAGU
This 2941-nucleotide long non-coding RNA is filed under the name Homo sapiens (human). RNAcentral's name for it is "HSALNT0397894". The record is from RNAcentral. Lineage: Eukaryota; Metazoa; Chordata; Mammalia; Primates; Hominidae.